CAGUCGCCACGGUAAUACAGAGGAUGCAAGCGUUAUCCGGAAUUAUUGGGCGUAAAGGGCUCGCAGGCGGUUUCUUAAGUCUGAUGUGAAAGCCCCCGGCUCAACCGGGGAGGGUCAUUGGAAACUGGGAGACUUGAGUGCAGAAGAGGAGAGUGGAAUUCCACGUGUAGCGGUGAAAUGCGUAGAGAUGUGGAGGAACACCAGUGGCGAAGGCGACUCUCUGGUCUGUAACUGACGCUGAGGAGCGAAAGCGUGGGGAGCGAACAGGAUUAGAUACCCCUGUAGUCCCUGUCUCUUAUAC
Molecule: ribosomal RNA, 301 nt
Filed under: uncultured bacterium
Lineage: Bacteria
Description: partial 16S ribosomal RNA
Rfam family: Bacterial small subunit ribosomal RNA
Source: RNAcentral